This is a non-coding RNA of Camellia sinensis, 1167 nucleotides long. NCBI's taxonomy places the organism in Eukaryota, Viridiplantae, Streptophyta, Magnoliopsida, Ericales, Theaceae. The record is from RefSeq and is a predicted model, not a curated record.
AGUCACCUUGCUCGGUGGUUUGAGCCCCCACCAUAGACCAUAUCACCUCUUUUUUAGCCCAUGUCCAUCCUAAGGUCCAGCCAGGGCUCAUGAUGUGCCGGUACAUCUGAAAAUUGUUCAUUGUCACAACUGCCUGCAGUAUCUGAGAACUGCCAAGCUCACAAUGGUUGAUUACUUGUAUGUAUUGAAGAAAGAAAGAAAAAGAUGUGCAAGAGGAAUUGUCAAUGAGUUUGAGAUGGCUUACCUACUGGUGGUUAGACACCUAGAGGUUAUCUUCUAUCGCCCCCUUCCUUUUCUCUCAUGUUUAUAUUUCUGUUACGAGUUUUUCUGUAUCUUGAAGCAAUGACUUGGUGUGAAGUGAGAAGAAAAAAGGAGAGAAGAUAGGCGGGAGAUUUGAAGGCUGAACACAACAUUCCAACGGUUACCCUGACAGCCAAAGGUGACAGGCUACGUGAUGUUGCUAUUCAUGCUUACAUGGGAUAGUCUUGGAUGAAAUUGUUUUGCCAAACUUAACAUUGGACAUAGACAAAAAUCUUUGUCCCUCUGUCUCAAAUGCAGUUGCAAUCAUAGAACUAUAUCUAUAGUUUCUAGACCUUUCUUUGAUUAUAAAGGCAUCAUCGAAGAUAUGGGAAUGGGCUUAUGAUACUGCAAAACCUAUACAAGGGCAUUGAGAAAAAAAUAGUUGCAGAGGGCAUUUUGGUCAUCUCGAGUGACGGUGUUUGAGUACAAUUUUCCUAAGUUCAUACUCGACCUAUUGAUUAAUCAGGCAAGUUUUCUCUGAGUUGUGUUUUGAUUUUAGCCCACGAAGAUAAAUAUUUCCCAACUAAAACUCCCCACAGAAAACGAAUUACUGGACUCCUUAAAAUCACUAGCAUUUUCUCUUGGACCAUGGAUAUGGGAAAAAAAUAUUUAUCCCUUUAUUUGGAAUUACAAUCUUGCUCUAUAAUUAAAAAAAGAGAGAAGACAAUUGUCGUAUUGUUCAGAGGAGUGAAAUACUCUGGUCUUCUUCAAUACUCUGCAACCUUUUGUAGUUGUGAUACUUUUAUGAAGGUUAAGAAUGGCUCCAUUUGGUAUAUAAACUGCAACAUCGUGUGGAGUAUAUUUUGUGUUUGGAAGUGACUGUGAAUGUGAUGUAGAAUAAAAAAAUCAAGUAGUCUUAAUAGUGUA